RNAcentral lists this ribosomal RNA (429 nucleotides) under uncultured bacterium. RNAcentral's name for it is "bacterial SSU rRNA". It matches the Rfam family "Bacterial small subunit ribosomal RNA", at positions 355 to 776 of the family's 1533-position model. The record is from RNAcentral.
UAGGGAAUCUUCCACAAUGGACGAAAGUCUGAUGGAGCAACGCCGCGUGAGUGAAGAAGGGUUUCGGCUCGUAAAGCUCUGUUGGUAGUGAAGAAAGAUAGAGGUAGUAACUGGCCCCUAUUUGACGGUAAUCAACCAGAAAGUCACGGUUAACUACGUGCCAGCAGCCGCGGUAAUACGUAGGGGGCAAGCGUUAUCCGGAUUUACUGGGUGUAAAGGGAGCGUAGACGGACUUGCAAGUCUGAUGUGAAAAUCCGGGGCCCAACCCCGGAACUGCAUUGGAAACUGUAUAUCUAGAGUGCAGAAGAGGAGAGUGGAACUCCAUGUGUAGCGGUGGAAUGCGUAGAUAUAUGGAAGAACACCAGUGGCGAAGGCGGCUCUCUGGUCUGUAACUGACGCUGAGGCUCGAAAGCAUGGGUAGCGAACAGG